This 1204-nucleotide ribosomal RNA is filed under the name metagenome. RNAcentral describes it as "bacterial SSU rRNA". It matches the Rfam family "Archaeal small subunit ribosomal RNA", at positions 79 to 1269 of the family's 1478-position model. The record is from RNAcentral.
GUGCGCACUGCUCAGUAACACGUAGCUAACCUAACCUCAAGACGGAAAUAACCCCGGGAAACUGGGGUCAAUGUCCGAUAGAUGUGAAUUCCUGGAAUGGUGUCACAUCCAAACGUCAACACACCAUGUUGUGCGAACGCUUGAGGAUGGGGCUGCGGCCGAUCAGGCUGUUGGUGGGGUAAUGGCCCACCAAACCUUUGACCGGUAUGGGCCAUGAGAGUGGUAGCCCAGAGAUGGACACUGAGACAAGGGUCCAGGCCCUACGGGGCGCAGCCGGUACGAAACCUCCACAAUGCACGCAAGUGCGAUGGGGUUAUCUCGAGUGCUAUCUGAAAAAGGUAGCUUUUCCAUGGUCUAAAUAGCCGUGGGAAUAAGGGGGGGGCAAGACUGGUGUCAGCCGCCGCGGUAACACCAGCCCCCCGAGUGGUAGGGAUGUUUAUUUGGCCUAAAGCGUCCGUAGCCGGCUAAGUAAAUUUCUCGUUAAAUCCAACGUCCUAAGCGUUGGGCUGCGAGAAAGACUGCUUAGCUAGAGGGUGGGAGAGGUCAGCGGUAUUCCUGGGGUAGGGGCGAAAUCCAUUGAACCCAGGAGGACCACCAGUGGCGAAGGCUGCUGACUAGAACACGCCUGACGGUGAGGGACGAAAGCUGGGGUAGCGAAUCGGAUUAGAUACCCGAGUAGUCCCAGCCGUAAACGAUGCAGACUAGGUGUUGGGUUGGCCACGCGCCGACUCAGUGCCACAGGGAAGCCAUUAAGUCUGCCGCCUGGGAAGUACGGCCGCAAGGCUGAAACUUAAAGGAAUUGGCGGGGGAGCACCACCAGGCGUGAAGCCUGCGGUUUAAUUGGAGUCAACGCCGGGAACCUUACCGGGAGCGACAGCAGAGUGAAGGCCAGGCUAAAGGUCUUGCCAGACGAGCUGAGAGGAGGUGCAUGGCCGUCGCCAGUUCGUGCCGUGAGGUGUCCUCUUAAGUGAGGUAACGAACGAGACCCGCGCCGCAUGUUGCUAACAAGUCCUAAAGGGAUGUUGAGCACUCUUGCGGGACCGCAGCCGACAAGGCUGAGGAAGGUGCGGGCAACGGCAGGUCAGUAUGCCCCGAAUCUCCCGGGCCACACGCGGGCUGCAAUGGUAGAGACAGAGGGCUGCAACCCCGAAAGGGGAAGCCAAUCCCUAAACUCUACCUCAGUUGGGAUUGAGGGCUGCAACCC